Molecule: long non-coding RNA, 2640 nt
Organism: Mercenaria mercenaria
Lineage: Eukaryota; Metazoa; Mollusca; Bivalvia; Venerida; Veneridae
Exons: 3
Source: RefSeq, a predicted model, not a curated record
CGCGGCUCACAUGUACUUCUGUUAUAAACUAUCUGUCAGUGUUUCUUUCACAGGCUGUCGAACGACGGUCAAGACUACGACUCGCAAAAGGGUUAGUCGCAUAUCCAUAUAUGUCAUGUGGCAAUGAAAGCUUAGCUCCAAAAUCUGGACACCUGACAGCAGCUUUUUCGGGGAUAUCACAGCCUCAAAGAUUUUCAGACGAAGAUUCAGACAACGUUAUCUUUCACUGGGACACACAUUCAAGUAAUUCCCACACUAAUCCUUCAGUUUCUUAUCAUAAUGGUGAGAUUACUAUUCCAGAGGGCAGAACUUACUUCAUAUAUGCAUCAGUACAUUUCAACAUCAGCCGACAAAAUUAUAAUACACAGUUCCGAAAUUUGCAACAGUUUUCAGUACGGAUUUGCAGACGAGUACACGAGUAUGAGCAGACUCUAUUAGGAAGAACGAAGAUGUUUAACAUCAGCAACACCAAUGCUGUGUCAAGUUUAAGAAUUGCAAGUCAUUUGAAGAUGUCGAGAGAUGACAAAAUAUACAUACAAGUAUCGGAUGCAAAACGUCUAAUACCUUACUCAAAGGGCAAUAGUUUUGGACUUUUCCCCACAUAGAUAUCAUCUCCUCAGUGAGAAGCUUAACUAGAUCUAGAAUAAGAUACAAAAUUGAUUGAAAAACUGCAAACUGUUCAGAGGCAAUUAGCUUGUGGUUGAAGUGGACUAUGUAUGCCUUAGGUCUUGUGCAUUUAUCAUGAAUGCUUUGAACUGCCGAAGAUGUAUGCCAGUCUGGUGUUGUGUUUUCAAUUACUAAGACAUAUACUUCUCUACAAAGGCUUCGGAUUUUUGGAGAAUUCUGGACAUAAAGACAACACCCAAUAUACCUACCUUUAUGACACUAAUAAUAUCUGGUUUUUUUUAUUCUCUCUAAAACAUUAAUCAUUUUUCACAUUGUCGUGAUAGGUUCCGAAUACUGUAAAAGCACAUAUUUUCGCCGGGACAAAUUUCGCGAAUUUGAAAUUUUGAGUAUUUUCGCGGGGUUUAAUAUUCGCGAAAUUGUAGAAAUGGUUUCCUAUUUUAAUUUGAAUUAUAUUUAUGGUGAAUAUUAACGCAAGGAAUAAUUUUCACGAGAUAUAUUGUCUCGUGAAUGUAGCGAAAAUUAAACCUUUGCGAAAAUAUCUGCUUUUACAAGCUGUUGAAAAACGUCAGAGAAAAAAAAACAUAUGGAUUAGAACAGCUCGAUGUAACAUCUGUCUUUCAAACCUAUUGUGUAAAUAUUUAACAACCCUUGUUUCAAAGAGAAAGUACAAACAAACGUAGGAUGUUUUAAUGACAAGUACGUUCCUUACAUAAUUAUUCAAGUGUAGUUCAAAGAGAACGAAGGUCAGUGCGUAGACAAACGAUGAAUAUAAGCUUAUAGUUACAAGCAAUCACAGAACAGCUUUGUAAUCGACAUUUUUUAUCAUAAGUGCAUAUGUAAAUGUAGAUCUGUUAGCACACAUAGUCUCAUAAAGACUUUAUUUUUCUGUUCAGCUAUAUUCCCUUACAUGUUGUAAUAUUUAGCUCACACGUUCAUUAAAAAAUGUAUGUCCACCUAUAUGGUUUUACCUAUAGAGAGUGCACCGAUGUAUCUUUAAAUGUACUUAUGUGGUCAGUAGCUUGUCCACCUUCUAGUUUGUCUAGAAUAUGUUUUGCAACAACCAAUUAACGUAAAGUCUCUUAAGAAAUCCAUUAUGACUAUUUGUCGGUCAUGCAGGUGUCGUACACGUGUAUGCAAAUUACAUUCAAGGUGUAUUCCUCAUGUCUAAAGGAGCACCUCUAAAUUUAGAUAUUUAGUUGUCAUGCUAAUUUCGGUGUACAAGGGUCCAAGCGAGGUAUAAGAAUAUUACUUUUCAAUGCUUUGUUAAAGGGACAAGGUCACACAUUUUAGGCGAAAAUUAAUUUAUCCCAAAAAUCCAUAAAAAAUGAGUACUCUGAAUAUGACUAGUGGUACAAAGGUAUUGAUAUAAGAUUUUUGCAAGAUAUUCAUAUAAAUGACCAAAAAUAUCAUACAGAAGCUAGAAACCCAUUGCUUUUGAAAAAGGGAGGAAAAUUUAUAUUCUUUUUGCAUUUAUACCAAAUAUGAUAAUAUCUUACUUUUAUUUUUACCCAUUUAAUCAUUUUUUUCGGUAUCAUAUAUACAGUCCUUGCCAAACUUGGUGAAAAUGAACAUGUUGAAAAUUUUCACUCAACCUGUGGGCGAGUAGCUUUAAUAAAUUAAUGUCUGGUUUUUGGUUACGGGGUUACAAUGUUUAACUACGAUUUACUUCCUCAAUUUUCUGCAUAGAGUAUAUUUAUAAAUGUGUUAUGAGAGAGAGAGAGAGAGAGAGAGAGAGAGAGUACGUUUUAUUUGUAUUGUUUUAAGAAAAGAUAAAAAUGAACACUAAUAAAAAAGUAACCGAUUAGGAGUUAAUUACGAUGGCACAGAGGUGACAUGCACUCCUCUUUUUUUUCAGUUGCACUUUUCUUUUUUUAUGUCGUUCCCACGAGAUACUAACUCGAGGGAACGACUUAGUAUGUCGUGGUAACGAGUAACUAAGUCGUGGGAACGACAUAGAAAAGAGAAGUGCAAUUUCAAAAAAAAGUAUUGCAUUGAAAAAAAGGAGUAGCGCAA